This 545-nucleotide ribosomal RNA is filed under the name Hoplichthys langsdorfii. RNAcentral describes it as "partial 16S ribosomal RNA". It matches the Rfam family "Bacterial large subunit ribosomal RNA", at positions 264 to 1050 of the family's 2925-position model. Lineage: Eukaryota; Metazoa; Chordata; Actinopteri; Perciformes; Hoplichthyidae. The record is from RNAcentral.
GACGUCCAACAGCUAGCGCAUUAAACCAAUCACAAUAUACCCCCUAUAAAUAACCCCUAACACACUAAGACUUAAUUAAGCAAACCAUUUUUCCCCCCUAGUAUGGGAGACAGAAAAGGAACAAAGAAGCAAUAGAAAAAGUACCGCAAGGGAACGCUGAAAAAGAAAUGAAAUAACCCAGUAAAACUUUAAAAAGCAGAGAUUAACCCUCGUACCUUUUGCAUCAUGAUUUAGCCAGUGUAACUCAGGCAAAGAGCACUUUAGUCUGUUUACCCGAAACUAUAUGAGCUACUCCAAGACAGCCUAUUUAUAGGGCAAACCCGUCCCUGUGGCAAAAGGGUGGGGAGAGCUUUGAGUAGAGGUGAAAAACCUACCGAAUAUAGUUAUAGCUGGUUGCCCGAGAAUUGAAUAGAAGUUCAGCCCCUCCGUUCCUCUCUUCAUCUUCGUUUACCCUAACUGAUAUCAAAGGAACUGAGGGAGUUAGUCAAAGGGGGUACAGCCCCUUUGAAUUAAGACACAACUUUUUAAGGAGGAUAAGGAUCAUA